UACAGAGGUCCCAAGCGUUGUUCGGAUUCACUGGGCGUAAAGGGUGCGUAGGCGGUCGGGUAAGUCUGACGUGAAAUCCCUCGGCUUAACCGGGGAACUGCGUCUGAUACUGGUUGGCUUGAAUCCGGGAGAGGGAUGUGGAAUUCCAGGUGUAGCGGUGAAAUGCGUAGAUAUCUGGAGGAACACCGGUGGCGAAGGCGGCAUCCUGGACCGGUAUUGACGCUGAGGAGCGAAAGCCAGGGGAGCAAACGGG
RNAcentral lists this ribosomal RNA (253 nucleotides) under uncultured bacterium. Its description in RNAcentral is "partial 16S ribosomal RNA". It matches the Rfam family "Bacterial small subunit ribosomal RNA", at positions 524 to 776 of the family's 1533-position model. The record is from RNAcentral.